Molecule: ribosomal RNA, 324 nt
Filed under: uncultured eukaryote
Lineage: Eukaryota
Description: partial 18S ribosomal RNA
Rfam family: Eukaryotic small subunit ribosomal RNA
Source: RNAcentral
CCCUUAGAUGUUCUGGGCCGCACGCGCGCUACACUGAUGAAUGCAACGAGCUCUACCCUUGACCGAAAGGCCCGGGUAAACUUGUGAAACUUCAUCGUGAUGGGGAUAGAUUAUUGCAAUUAUUAAUCUUCAACGAGGAAUUCCUAGUAAGCGCGAGUCAUCAGCUCGCGUUGAUUACGUCCCUGCCCUUUGUACACACCGCCCGUUGCUCCUACCGAUCGAAGAGUUAGGUGAAUUGUUUUGAUCGAUAAGAUUUGACUAUGGUCAACUCUCGUUGUGAAAUUCUGUGAAUCUGACUGUUUAGAGGAAGGAAAAGUCGUAACA